ACUCUCGCAACGGAUAUCUCGGCUCUCGCAUCGAUGAAGAACGUAGCGAAAUGCGAUACCUGGUGUGAAUUGCAGAAUCCCGCGAACCAUCGAGUCUUUGAACGCAAGUUGCGCCCGAGGCCACUCGCGAGGGCACGCCUGCCUGGCGUCACGCCAAAACACGCUCCCCAACCACUCUCAACGGGAUCCGGAGCGGCAUCUGGUCCUCGUCUCUCAGGGACGGUGGACGAAGAGGCUCCGGCGUACCGCGCCGCAACAGCGCAUGGUGGGCGUCCUCGCUUAUCAAUGCAGUGCAUCCGCGCGCAGCUGAUUAUGGCUUGAACACCCAUACAAACGAGCGCACGUCGCUUCGACCGCCGACCCCAGUCAGCGCGGGACUACCGCUGAGUUUAAGCAUAUAAUAAGCGGAGGAGAAAAACUUACAAGGAUCCUAGUAACGCGAGCGAACCGGGAGCAGCCCAGCUGAGAAUCGCGGCCUGUGCGCCGAAUUGUAGUCUGAGAGGGCUCAGCGACGGACCGGGCCAAGUCCCUGAAGGGGCGCCUGGGAGGAAGCCCGUCGCCCGGACCUGUCGCCCACGAGGCGCCGUCAACGAGUCGGGUUUGUUUGGGAAUGCAGCCCAAAUCGGCGGUAACUCCGUCCAAGGCUAAUACAGGCGAGAGACCGAUAGCAACAAGUACCAGCGAGGGAAAGAUGAAAAGGACUUUGAAAAGAGAGUCAAAGAGUGCUUGAAAUUGCCGGGAGGGAAGCGAUGGGGGCCGGCGAAUGCGCCCCGGCCGUAUGCGAACGGCUCUUGCUGGUCCGCCGCUCGCUCGGGGUGUGGACUUGUCGGCCGCGCCGGCGCCAAAGCCGGGGCCUAGGUGCCCCGGUGGCCGUCGUCGGCACGGCCGGUACCCGCGCCCGAAAGGCGUGUCCCUCGGGACUGCGCUGCAACGCGCCUGCGGCUCCCAAUCCGACCCCAGUCUUGAACACGGACAAGGAGUCUGACAUGCGUGCGAGUCGACGGGUUUCUGAAACCUGGAUGCGCAAGGAAGCUGAACGAGCGGGAGGCCCUCACGGGCCGCACCGCUGGCCGACCCGAUCUUGUGAAGGGUUCGAGUUGGAGCACGCCUGUCGGACCGAAAGAUGGUGACUAAUCCUGAGCGGGCGAAGCCAGAGGAAACUCUGGUGGAGGCUCGAAGCGAUACUGACGUGCAAAUCGUUCGUCUGACUUGGGUAUAGGGGCGAAAGACUAAUCGAACCAUUCUAGUAGCUGGUUCCCUCCGAAGAUUUCCCUCAGGUAGCUGGAGCCCAUUACGAGUUCUAUCAGGUAAAGCCAAAUUAGAGGCAUUGGGACGCAACGUCUCGACUAUUCUCAACUUUAAAUAGGUAGGAUGGCGCGGCUGCUUCGGUGAGCCGUGCCAUGGAAUCGGGUCUCCAAGUGGGCCAUUUUUGGUAAGCAGAACUGGCGAUGCGGGAUGAACCGGAAGCGCGGGUAUACGGUGCCACAACUGCGCUAACCUAGAACACACAAGGGUGUUGGUCGAUUAAGCAGCAGGACGGUGGUCAUGGAACGUGAAAUCCGCUAAAGGAUGUGUAACAGCUCACCUGCGAAUCAACUAGCCCGAAAAUGGAUGGCGCUGAAGCGCGCGACCCACACGGCCAUCUGGCGAGCGCCAUGCCCCAUGAGUAGGAGGGCGCGCGGCCGUGCAAACCCGGGGCGCGAGCCCGGGCGAGCGGCGUACGGUGCAGAUCUUGGUGGUAGUAGCAAUAUUCAAAGAGACUUUGAAGGCCGAAGAGGAGAAAGGUUCCAUGUGAACGGCACUUGCACAUGGGUAACCGAUCCUAAGGAGACGGGGUAAACCCCGGCAGAUACGCGAUCACGCGCAUUCCCCCGAAAGGGAAUCGGGGUUAGAUUUCCGAGCCGGAUGUGGCGGUUGACGCGACGUUGGAAGUCCGGAGACGCCGGCGGGGCCUCGGAAAGUUAUCUUUUCUGCUUAACGGCUGCCAACCUGGAAACGGUUCAGCCGGAGGUAGGGUCCAGUGGCCGGAAGAGCACCGCACGUCGCGCGGAUGUCCGGUGCGGCCCCCGGCGGCCAUGAAAACCGGAGGACCGAAGUACCGUUCACGCCCGGUCGUACUCAUACCGUAUAGGUCUCCAAGUGAACAGCCUCUGGCCAAUGGAACAAUGUAGGCAAGGAAGUCGGCAAAGACGGUCCGUACUUCGGAAAAGGAUUGGCUCUGAGGACUGGGCUGGGGUCCGGCCCCGAACCGUCGGCUGUCGGCGGAUUGCUCCGAGUGCUCACGCGGCAGAGCGGGUCGCCGCGUGCCGGCCGGGGACGGACGGGAAUCGCCCUCAUCGGGGGCUUUCCCGGAGCAUGAAACAGUCGACUCAGAAACUGGUACGGACAAGGGAAUCCGACUUUAAUUAAAACAAAGCAUUGCGAUGGUCCUCUCGCGGAUGCUGACGCAUGUGAUUUCUGCACGUGCUCUGAAUGUCAAAGUGAAGAAAUUCAACCAGCGCCGGGUAACGGCGGGAAGUAACUAUGAAUCUCUUAAGUAGCCAAAUGCCACGUCAUCUAAUUAGUGACGCGCAUGAAUGGAUUAACGAGAUUCCCACUGUCCUGUCUACUACAGCGAACCACAGCCAAGGGAACGGGCUUUGGCGGAAUCAGCGGGGAAAGGAAGACCCUGUUGAGCUUGACUCUAGUCCGACUUUAUGUGAAAUGACUUGAGAGGUGUAGGAUAAGUGGAGCCCACGGGCGCAAGUGAAAUACACUACUUUUAACGUUAUUUUACUUA
RNAcentral lists this ribosomal RNA (2779 nucleotides) under Triticum aestivum (bread wheat). RNAcentral describes it as "eukaryotic LSU rRNA". The stretch from base 358 to 2779 matches the Rfam family "Eukaryotic large subunit ribosomal RNA", at positions 1 to 2523 of the family's 3401-position model. The record is from RNAcentral. Lineage: Eukaryota; Viridiplantae; Streptophyta; Magnoliopsida; Poales; Poaceae.